GGGAAUGUUCUAAUGUUGGUAAUUAGAUUAAUAUUGUAAAUAUUACACGUUUUCGUUUCGACUGUUCGAUUCAGUCCAUUCUCA
Molecule: transfer RNA, 84 nt
Filed under: Intestinozyma alai
Lineage: Eukaryota; Fungi; Ascomycota; Pichiomycetes; Serinales; Debaryomycetaceae
Description: Candida alai tRNA-Tyr
Source: RNAcentral